This 951-nucleotide ribosomal RNA is filed under the name Curtobacterium sp. HBUM178426. Its description in RNAcentral is "bacterial SSU rRNA". It matches the Rfam family "Bacterial small subunit ribosomal RNA", at positions 36 to 994 of the family's 1533-position model. The record is from RNAcentral. Lineage: Bacteria; Bacillati; Actinomycetota; Actinomycetes; Micrococcales; Microbacteriaceae.
UUUGGGGGGCGUGGUUAACACUUGCAAGUCGAACGAUGAUGCCCAGCUUGCUGGGUGGAUUAGUGGCGAACGGGUGAGUAACACGUGAGUAACCUGCCCCUGACUCUGGGAUAAGCGUUGGAAACGACGUCUAAUACUGGAUAUGAUCACCGGCCGCAUGGUCUGGUGGUGGAAAGAUUUUUUGGUUGGGGAUGGACUCGCGGCCUAUCAGCUUGUUGGUGAGGUAAUGGCUCACCAAGGCGACGACGGGUAGCCGGCCUGAGAGGGUGACCGGCCACACUGGGACUGAGACACGGCCCAGACUCCUACGGGAGGCAGCAGUGGGGAAUAUUGCACAAUGGGCGAAAGCCUGAUGCAGCAACGCCGCGUGAGGGAUGACGGCCUUCGGGUUGUAAACCUCUUUUAGUAGGGAAGAAGCGAGAGUGACGGUACCUGCAGAAAAAGCACCGGCUAACUACGUGCCAGCAGCCGCGGUAAUACGUAGGGUGCAAGCGUUGUCCGGAAUUAUUGGGCGUAAAGAGCUCGUAGGCGGUUUGUCGCGUCUGCUGUGAAAUCCCGAGGCUCAACCUCGGGCUUGCAGUGGGUACGGGCAGACUAGAGUGCGGUAGGGGAGAUUGGAAUUCCUGGUGUAGCGGUGGAAUGCGCAGAUAUCAGGAGGAACACCGAUGGCGAAGGCAGAUCUCUGGGCCGUAACUGACGCUGAGGAGCGAAAGCAUGGGGAGCGAACAGGAUUAGAUACCCUGGUAGUCCAUGCCGUAAACGUUGGGCGCUAGAUGUAGGGACCUUUCCACGGUUUCUGUGUCGUAGCUAACGCAUUAAGCGCCCCGCCUGGGGGAGUACGGCCGCAAGGCUAAAACUCAAAGGAAUUGACGGGGGCCCGCACAAGCGGCGGAGCAUGCGGAUUAAUUCGAUGCAACGCGAAGAACCUUACCAAGGCUUGACAUACACCGG